This 1189-nucleotide long non-coding RNA is filed under the name Triticum aestivum (bread wheat). RNAcentral's name for it is "long non-coding RNA (TAES_LNC001868)". The record is from RNAcentral. Lineage: Eukaryota; Viridiplantae; Streptophyta; Magnoliopsida; Poales; Poaceae.
GUGUCUUGUAACAUAGGGUUUGUGGUUAUCUGGGGGAGUUACUGUCGCGAGGUAUACGGCCUCAGGAUUUAUUUUCCGCUUUAUUUCCGGGUCGAGGUUGUUCGGGUGCUGGAUUUUGCACUAUUAACAAUAUAUGGCUGCAUGAAGGGGAGCCUUGGCGCAGUGGUAAAGCUGCUGUCUUGUGACCAUGAGGUCACGGGUUCAAGUCCUGGAAACAACCUCUUACAGAAAUGUAGGGAAAGGCUGCGUACUAUAGACCCAAAGUGGUCGGACCCUUCCCCGACCCUGCGCAAGCGGGAGCUACAUGCACCGGGCUGCCCUUUUUUUAACAAUAUAUGGCUGCAUGCAUCGUUCUGAUGUAGAGGCCGGGGGUUAUCCUCCUUUUCAGAAAAAUAACAAGGGGAAAGGAAGAAGAGAAAAAUGCACACCCAAGAGAAGGCACGACCUAGCGAGUAGACCGAAGCACCAUCACGAGUGACACGAGUAGAUGUGGGGAGCCGUCGAGGGAUCACAAUGCCAAAACUUUGCAAACAGCCUAACGCACCGCACCGGCGUGCGUACCGAACCCCACGGCGCAAUAGAGGAGCCUCCACAAUCAACAAGUGCUAUAGUUGAACAAGAACCUUGACUGCAAGCUCAGCCAUACGAAGCCGGAACGAUUAUCAAGUUGGGGAGGCAUCAUUACUCCAACAUUGAGCAAAGAUGAACGGAGACCACCAUGGGAAGGUCUUGAACAUGCACAACAAGACGGCACACCACAUGAACACUGCCAAAGACAAACAAACGAGGCAGAGGUGGCAGCUCCACAGCACCAAGCGUGAUGUUGCCAGACCCCAAGACACACCACUGUCGACCCCAACUCAGUCGCACCACCACCACCCACAUCCCCGUAAGAAGCAGCUACCCAACAGAACAAUCGAGCCGACUUCUAGACGAUGCCUUCAAGACGGGUUGUGAUGCAAAUUGCGCCACCAUUGGUUGUUCAGGGCAAACCUGGAACCAAGGUUUCCCCCUAAGUCGCAAAGAGGAUGGCAAAAACAACAUACAAUGACGCCUUCAAGAAGGUUCACGGCGCCCAUGGGCGUCGUCGUCAUUUGCUCCGGUCUGAGCUUUCACUGAAUUGAGCACACACAUCCAGAGCAUCAUUGAACUAGGUAGAUUGCUCACUUGCACCACCAUAAGCAUUGGG